GACGAACGCUGGCGGCGUGCCUAAUACAUGCAAGUAGAACGCAGUUGCGAACGGGUGAGUAACGCGUAGGUAACUGCCUGGUAGCUGGGGAUAACUAUUGGAAACGAUAGCUAAUACCGCAUACUACCAGAUGGACCUGCUGUGUAUUAGCUAGUUGGUUCGGUAACGGCUCACCAAGGCAACGAUCCAUAGCCGUACUGGGAGGGGGAUCGGCCACACUGGGACUGAGACAGGGCCCAGACUCCUCAGGGAGGCAGCAGUAGGGAAUCUUCGGCAAUGGGGGGAAGCCUGACCGAGCAACGCCGCGUGAGUGAAGAAGGUUUUCGGAUCGUAAAGCUCGGUUGUUAAGGAAGCGGUACUUAACCAGAAAGGGACGGCUAACUACGUGCCAGCAGCCGCGGUAAUUG
RNAcentral lists this ribosomal RNA (407 nucleotides) under uncultured bacterium. RNAcentral describes it as "partial 16S ribosomal RNA". It matches the Rfam family "Bacterial small subunit ribosomal RNA", at positions 28 to 527 of the family's 1533-position model. The record is from RNAcentral.